UCGACCAGGCCUGUGGAGCUCCUGGGAGGCUCAGCACCCAGAUUUGAGCCCCUGGCUUCCCCGCUGGGGGUGGAGGGCACGGAAGUGACCCCGGCUCUGUGCUCCCACGUUGACCACACGUCAACCCGAAGACCCCUUUGGAAAGGAAAGUUUGAAAGUGGAGAAAUGUACGAAGAAAAUUAAAAUCACCUGCAUCCUUGCCACCCAGAAAAAGACACACAAAUGCCCUGGAUUGCUAGAGGUCCAUGUUCCAGUCCUGACUCUGUGACUCAUUAGCUGUUUGGCCUUACAGGACUCAGCUUUUGGUGUCUCUCAUCUGUAAAAUGGAUACAUUUUGAUUCAAAGUUCUACUGAAUCUGAAAGUGUUUGAUGAGAAGCUCUUUACAGAGAAUUUGCCUGCAAGACUGUAGACCCAGGUUUGAUUCCCUGAGUCAAGAAGAUCCCCUGGAAGAGGCAAGUGGUAACCUACUACAGUAUACUUGCUUGGAAAAUUCCAUGAACAGUCAAUGGGCUACCAUCCAUGCGGUCAGAAAGAGUCAGUAGUGACUAGCAACUAACACUUUUGAGGAAUUUCAACAAUCGAAGCGACUUAGUGCAUAGCAUACCACACAUGACUCUUCUCCACUUUGGUCUCAUAUUUCUAUUUCAUUGCUUUUUCUGUUCUGCAUUUUAGAUUUCCUUAAUGCUACCUCCCAACAUUUUUGUUCAAUUUUCUUUUUUUUUUGACAUCACAUAUUUAAUUUCCCAGUACUCUUGCUCUAUGAUUGUUCCUCUUACGUAGCAUCUUUUCCUGUGGAUGGAAUAUAUUCUUGCAUAUCUCAGAGAAGACAAGUUUAUUUUUUCUAAAUUAUCUUUGUUUCCUCCAAAAUCAGCUUUUCCUUUUAAAUAAA
This is a non-coding RNA of Odocoileus virginianus texanus, 890 nucleotides long. The record is from RefSeq and is a predicted model, not a curated record. NCBI's taxonomy places the organism in Eukaryota, Metazoa, Chordata, Mammalia, Artiodactyla, Cervidae.